GCCUAAAACAUCCAGCACGAUGUGUUGAUAUUCAAAAGUCCCACAUCGGUUAAUACCCAAAGCAUGGGUUGGUGAAGCAGUAGUAUAUAUAAAGAAGCGGACUGUUCAAGCAAAUUACUUACCUGGACGGGGUCAACUCGCGAUCAAUAAGACGAGUGGCCUAGGCUAGUGACCGCAUUGCACAUACCGUUGGGGUGCUAUGCCUAAGGUCUUCCCUUGAGGAAGAGCCUGCGUUAUUAUUUGUGGCAGAGGGGGUUUGCGUUCGCGCAGCCCCUACCAGUCAUUGUUAGUCUGAAGUUUUCAUAUUUCAAUU
This 313-nucleotide small RNA is filed under the name Arabidopsis thaliana (thale cress). RNAcentral describes it as "ATSL260440". The stretch from base 115 to 276 matches the Rfam family "U1 spliceosomal RNA". From Rfam's summary of the family: U1 is a small nuclear RNA (snRNA) component of the spliceosome (involved in pre-mRNA splicing). Its 5' end forms complementary base pairs with the 5' splice junction, thus defining the 5' donor site of an intron. The record is from RNAcentral. Lineage: Eukaryota; Viridiplantae; Streptophyta; Magnoliopsida; Brassicales; Brassicaceae.